CAAUAGCGUAUAUUAAAGUUGUUGCGGUUAAAAGCUCGUAGUUGGAUUUCUGCUGAGGACGAUCGGUCCGCCCACUGGGUGAGUAUCUGGCUCGGCCUUGGCAUCUUCUUGGAGAACGUUGCUGCACUUGACUGUGUGGUGCGGUAUCCAGGACUUUUACUUUGAGGAAAUUAGAGUGUUUCAAGCAGGCGCACGCCUUGAAUACAUUAGCAUGGAAUAAUAAGAUAGGACCUUAGUUCUAUUUUGUUGGUUUCUAGAGCUGAGGUAAUGAUUAAUAGGGAUAGUUGGGGGCAUUCGUAUUUAACUGUCAGAGGUGAAAUUCUUGGAUUUGUCAAAGACGGACUACUGCGAAAGCAUUUGCCAAGGAUGUUUUCAUUGA
Molecule: ribosomal RNA, 379 nt
Filed under: uncultured eukaryote
Lineage: Eukaryota
Description: partial 18S ribosomal RNA
Rfam family: Eukaryotic small subunit ribosomal RNA
Source: RNAcentral